AGACUUAACUAAUUACUUUGAAAGUAAUAAAGAAAACUAUAAGUCUU
Molecule: transfer RNA, 47 nt
Filed under: Spinibdella lignicola
Lineage: Eukaryota; Metazoa; Arthropoda; Arachnida; Trombidiformes; Bdellidae
Description: tRNA-Ser
Source: RNAcentral